This 346-nucleotide unclassified non-coding RNA is filed under the name soil metagenome. RNAcentral's name for it is "partial contains 5.8S ribosomal RNA, internal transcribed spacer 2, and large subunit ribosomal RNA". The stretch from base 1 to 120 matches the Rfam family "5.8S ribosomal RNA", at positions 35 to 154 of the family's 154-position model. The record is from RNAcentral.
GAUGAAGAACGCAGCGAAAUGCGAUAAUUAAUGUGAAUUGCAGAAUUCAGUGAAUCAUCGAGUCUUUGAACGCACAUUGCGCCCCCUGGUAUUCCGGGGGGCAUGCCUGUCCGAGCGUCAUUGCUGCCCUCAAGCCCGGCUUGUGUGUUGGGCCUCGUCCCCCCUCCGGGGGACGGGCCCGAAAGGCAGCGGCGGCACCGUGUCCGGUCCUCGAGCGUAUGGGGCUUUGUCACCCGCUCUGUAGGCCCGGCCGGCGCCUUAGCCGACGACACAAUCUUUUUUUUCAGGUUGACCUCGGAUCAGGUAGGGAUACCCGCUGAACUUAAGCAUAUCAAUAAGCGGAGGA